UCUCUUCGGAGAUGAGUGGCGAACGGGUGAGUAAUACAUAGGUAACCUGCCCCUGUGCGGGGGAUAACAGGAGGAAACUCCUGCUAAUACCGCAUAGCCAUGAGCACCGCAUGGAGCUCAUGCCAAAUAUCCUUUCGGGGAUAGCGCAGGGAUGGACCUAUGGCGCAUUAGCUUGUUGGCGGGGCAACGGCCCACCAAGGCAACGAUGCGUAGCCGGCCUGAGAGGGCGGACGGCCACAUUGGGACUGAGACACGGCCCAGACUCCUACGGGAGGCAGCAGUAGGGAAUUUUCGGCAAUGGGGGAAACCCUGACCGAGCAACGCCGCGUGAGCGAAGAAGGCCUUCGGGUCGUAAAGCUCUGUUGUAAAGGAAGAACGGCGCAUACAGGAAAUGGUAUGCGAGUGACGGUACUUUACCAGAAAGCCACGGCUAACUACGUGCCAGCAGCCGCGGUAAUACGUAGGUGGCGAGCGUUAUCCGGAAUCAUUGGGCGUAAAGAGGGAGCAGGCGGCCGCAAGGGUCUGUGGUGAAAGACCGAAGCUAAACUUCGGUAAGCCAUGGAAACCGGGCGGCUAGAGUGCGGAAGAGGAUCGUGGAAUUCCAUGUGUAGCGGUGAAAUGCGUAGAUAUAUGGAGGAACACCAGUGGCGAAGGCGACGGUCUGGGCCGCAACUGACGCUCAUUCCCGAAAGCGUGGGGAGCAAAUAGGAUUAGAUACCCUAGUAGUCCACGCCGUAAACGAUGGUCACUAAGUGUCGGGGGUCAAACCCCGGUGCUGCAGUCAACGCAAUAAGUGACCCGCCUGAGUAGUACGUUCGCAAGAAUGAAACUCAAAGGAAUUGACGGAAGGGCGAA
Molecule: ribosomal RNA, 855 nt
Filed under: uncultured bacterium
Lineage: Bacteria
Description: bacterial SSU rRNA
Rfam family: Bacterial small subunit ribosomal RNA
Source: RNAcentral